RNAcentral lists this small nuclear RNA (106 nucleotides) under Microtus ochrogaster (prairie vole). Lineage: Eukaryota; Metazoa; Chordata; Mammalia; Rodentia; Cricetidae. The record is from RNAcentral.
AUUCUGGAAAGUCAGCACACAGACUAAAAUCUGAAUGCUACUGGAUAGAAUAGCCUGGCCCCUGCACAAAAACGACACCCAAAUUCAAGAGGCAUAUUACAUCUUC